This is a long non-coding RNA of Alexandromys fortis (reed vole), 841 nucleotides long. RefSeq lists it as uncharacterized. The record is from RefSeq and is a predicted model, not a curated record. Lineage: Eukaryota; Metazoa; Chordata; Mammalia; Rodentia; Cricetidae. The transcript has 3 exons.
UGCAGGCGUAUGGCAGGCAGGUAGACUGGCAAGCUGGCAAUCAACAGCCUCUGGGUUGCCAAGGACAUUUGACACACUGCCCUACAAGCUUGCGUCUUGGAACGCUGAGCUGAGCUGGCUCUAGAACAAGAGUGCAACAAAUCGGCCCACACUCCUGUGCGGAGGUUGGGAGUGCCAGGCUCAGGGCCCUUUGGAGGCUUGCACUGCUGCUCUCGGAUACUGCCUAGGCCUGUGUUUACACCAAGGUGGCUCUCAGCACGGAGCAGCGAGGACCAGAGAAGGCAAUGAAGGAGCCCUGAGCAUCAGACUAUCACAGGAAACCAUCUGUGCACUUCCAGCUCCAGGGACCCUAACACAAGCGAUGCGCUGAUGCCCAAGGAAGUCACAAGAGGGACUCCACCUCUUAUGGAUUCAGUAUAUGCUUCGAAUGGUCAAGUCAUCUCUACAGCCCAUGUUUUUAUCGAUUGGAUUAAAAUUUUAUUUUUGCUUCUUUUUUUUGACCCUGUUUCGAAAAAGACAAAGACAAAAACAAUCAAACAAAUAAAACUCAAAUAAAUAAAUAAAUAAAUAAAUAAACAAAUAAACAAGCAAGCAAACUGGGCAGUGGUGGUGCAUGCCUUUAGUACCAGCUCUCAGGAAACAGAGGCUGAGGCAGAUGCAGAUGGAUCUCUGUGAGUUCAAAGCCAUCCUGGUCUACAGAGCAAGUUCUGUGAUGGCCAGGGCUACAUAGAGAAACCCUGUCCAACAAAACCACUAAAUAAAAUAAAAUUGGGACUGGAGAGAUGGCUCAGUGGUUAAGAGCUCUGCCUGCUCUUCCAAAGGUCCUGAGUUCAAUUCCCAG